GACGAACGCUGGCGGCGUGCUUAACACAUGCAAGUCGAACGGAAAGGCCCUGCUUUUGUGGGGUGCUCGAGUGGCGAACGUUUGAGUAACACGUGAGUAACCUGCCCUUUACUUUGGUAUAACUUCAGGAAACUGGGGCUAAUACCUGAUAGGAGCUCCUGCUGCAUGGUGGGUGUUGGAAAGUUUCGGCGGUUGGGGAUGGACUCACGGCUUAUCAGCUUUUUGGUGGGGUAGUGGCUUACCAAGGCUUUGACGGGUAGCAGGCCUGAGAGGGUGACAGGCAAAAUUGGGACUGAGAGACGGCACAGACUCCUACGGGAGGCAGAAGUGGGGAAUAUUGAAGAAUGGGAGGAAGCCUGAUGAAGCAAAGAAGCGGGCGGGAUGAAGGCCUUCGGGUUGUAAACAGAUUUCGCCUGUGACGAAGCGUGAGUGACGGUAAUGGGUAAAGAAGAACCGGCUAACUAAGUG
This 468-nucleotide ribosomal RNA is filed under the name uncultured bacterium. RNAcentral's name for it is "partial 16S ribosomal RNA". It matches the Rfam family "Bacterial small subunit ribosomal RNA", at positions 28 to 507 of the family's 1533-position model. The record is from RNAcentral.